Molecule: ribosomal RNA, 258 nt
Filed under: uncultured bacterium
Lineage: Bacteria
Description: partial 16S ribosomal RNA
Rfam family: Bacterial small subunit ribosomal RNA
Source: RNAcentral
UACGGGGGGGGUUAGUGUUAUUCAUCGUUACUGGGUGUAAAGCGCGCGUGGACUGUUUAAGAAGUUCUAGUUAAAAUAAUCUAAGCGUAACUUAGAAGUUAACUUUUAUACUCUUAUAACUUGAGGUUAAAAGAAGGAAGCUAUACUUCUCAGAGAAAUGUGAAAUUUGUCCGAACUGAGGGGGAUAACCAGCAGGCAAAAGCGGCUUCCCUAUUAUAAUUCUGACGUUUAGGCGCAAAAGCCUGGGGAUCAAACGGG